Molecule: ribosomal RNA, 492 nt
Filed under: uncultured bacterium
Lineage: Bacteria
Description: partial 16S ribosomal RNA
Rfam family: Bacterial small subunit ribosomal RNA
Source: RNAcentral
AGUGAACGCUGGCGGUAUGCCUAAUACAUGCAAGUCGAACGGAAGGACAGUAAGAGUUUGCUCUUACGGGUGGCGAGGGGCGGACGGGUGAGGAAUAGAUAGGAAUCUACUUUUACGGGGGGGACAACGGAGGGAAGGAGACACUAAUAGAGAAUACGACGUACGGGUGAAAGCAGGGGAUCAUGGGAGUUUGCGCGACUGAAUGAGACGGUGUCGGAUUAGCUAGUUGGGGGGGUAAGGGAACACCAAGGCGACGAUCCGUAGCUGGUCUGAGAGGAUGAUCGGCCACACUGGAACUGAGACACGGUCCAGACUCCUACGGGAGGCAGCAGUGGGGAAUCUUCCACAAUGGGCGCAAGCCUGAUCCAGCCAUGCCGCGUGAGUGAAGAAGGCCUUCGGGUUGUAAAGCCCUUUUGUUAGGAAAGAACAGCUGCAUGUUAAUACCCCGCUGUUCUGACGGUACCCAAUCAAUAAGCCCCGGCUAACUUCGUG